Cutaneotrichosporon oleaginosum is the source of this 80-nucleotide non-coding RNA. Lineage: Eukaryota; Fungi; Basidiomycota; Tremellomycetes; Trichosporonales; Trichosporonaceae. The record is from the annotation of a RefSeq genome assembly.
GUCCUCGUGGUGUAGUGGUUAUCAUACUCUCUUAGGGACUGCUAUGGGAGUGGCCCCGCGUUCGAAUCGCGGCGAGGACC